AACGAACGCUGGCGGCAGGCUUAACACAUGCAAGUCGAGCGCCCAGCCCGGGGAGCGGCAGACGGGUGAGUAACGCGUGGGAACGUACCUUUUGGUUCGGAACAACUCCGGGAAACUGGAGCUAAUACCGGAUAAGCCCUAACGGGGAAAGGUUUAUCGCGGAAAGAUCGGCCCGCGGAUGAUUAGCUAGGUGGAGGGGUAAAGGCUCGCCUAGACGACGAUCAGUAGGUGGAGUGAGAGGAUGAUCAGUCACACUGAGACAGAGACACGGCCCAGACCCCUGCGGGAGGCAGCAGAGGGGAAAAAAGGACAAGGAGCGCAAGCCUGAACCGGCCAGGCCGGGAUAGUGAUGAAGGCCUUAGGAUUCUAAAGCGCUUGUGACCGGGAGGAUAAGGACUGAACCGGAAGAAUAAGCCCGGGCUAAUAUCUG
RNAcentral lists this ribosomal RNA (430 nucleotides) under uncultured bacterium. RNAcentral's name for it is "partial 16S ribosomal RNA". It matches the Rfam family "Bacterial small subunit ribosomal RNA", at positions 30 to 506 of the family's 1533-position model. The record is from RNAcentral.